RNAcentral lists this ribosomal RNA (274 nucleotides) under uncultured bacterium. RNAcentral describes it as "partial 16S ribosomal RNA". It matches the Rfam family "Bacterial small subunit ribosomal RNA", at positions 523 to 796 of the family's 1533-position model. The record is from RNAcentral.
AUACGGAGGGUGCAAGCGUUAAUCGGAAUUACUGGGCGUAAAGCGUGCGCAGGCGGUUUUGUAAGUCAGAUGUGAAAUCCCCGGGCUUAACCUGGGAACUGCGUUUGAAACUGCAAGGCUAGAGUGUGGCAGAGGGGGGUGGAAUUCCGCGUGUAGCAGUGAAAUGCGUAGAUAUGUGGAGGAACACCGAUGGCGAAGGCAGCCCCCUGGGUCAGCACUGACGCUCAGGCACGAAAGCAUGGGGAGCAAACAGGAGUAGAAACCCCAGUAGUCC